GUAGGGAAUCUUGUCCAAUGGGCGCAAGCCUGAGACAGCGACGCCGCGUGCGGGACGAAGGCCUUCGGGUUGUAAACCGCUUUCAGCAGGGACGAAGCGAAAGUGACGGUACCUGCAGAAGAAGGUCCGGCCAACUACGUGCCAGCAGCCGCGGUAAUACGUAGGGACCGAGCGUUGUCCGGAUUCAUUGGGCGUAAAGAGCUCGUAGGCGGCCACUCAAGUCGAUUGUGAAAACUCGGAGCUCAACUCCGAGCCCGCGAUCGAUACUGGGCGGCUAGAGUCUGGUAGGGGGAUCUGGAAUUCCUGGUGUAGCGGUGGAAUGCGCAGAUAUCAGGAGGAACACCGGUGGCGAAGGCGGGAUCCUGGGCCAGUACUGACGCUGAGGAGCGAAAGCGUGGGGAGCAAACAGGAUUAGAAACCCGUGUAGUCC
Molecule: ribosomal RNA, 430 nt
Filed under: uncultured Arthrobacter sp.
Lineage: Bacteria; Bacillati; Actinomycetota; Actinomycetes; Micrococcales; Micrococcaceae
Description: bacterial SSU rRNA
Rfam family: Bacterial small subunit ribosomal RNA
Source: RNAcentral